Molecule: long non-coding RNA, 532 nt
Filed under: Elaeis guineensis (African oil palm)
Lineage: Eukaryota; Viridiplantae; Streptophyta; Magnoliopsida; Arecales; Arecaceae
Description: long non-coding RNA (EGUI_LNC024985)
Source: RNAcentral
AUUGGUUGUUGGUAAAAUUGGUUAUUAGCGACAGCAAAAUUACCGCCGCUAAUGGCUGUCGCUAAAAAUCAUUUCUUUUGUAGUGAGUUUAUUUUAGGAGUAACGAAUGUUAGAGAAUUAUUGCAUAAGUAUUUAUUUUUUUUUUCUCAAGGAUUGCCUCCGAAAAUUGAUCAUUGUUGGUCAUUGCUAAGUCUUCAACCAACUGCAUUAUUGGAUCAAGUGGUCUAUUAUUAAAGGCUACUCUUAAGACCAAAGUAUAAUGUGAGAGUGUAAUUAGGAAUGCAAAUGAGCGAAGUUGAGAUGUUUAGUCUUGAGUUGUUAUAUAAAAGGGAUGAUGAGGAACAAAUUGAGCUCAGGCCAGGCUUAGUUGAGCAUGUUUUUUCUUUUGGUAGCAGGCUUAGUUAAGCAUGUUUAAGAUUGAAUCAUUUGCCCUAUCAGCCAAGUUGAACGAGCAUUUUAUUGAUCAUCUUUUUUGCAGGCUUUGAUGCCUAACCUUAAUUAAUUUUUAAGCUGAGCUUUUAACAAAUGUGCG